AGGGGCUAGUGUGUGUGUGUGUGUGUGUGUGUGUGUGUGUGUGUGUGUGCGUGUGUGUGUUUCAGUUGCCCCUUUCUUCUUUUCCCAAUAAGCCGCCACUUGGCGUUUCUUGCUAUAUGCAGACUAUGGGGGUGCAUAGGACCCAAGCACCACUAGGGGGCCCCCUCAAGUAGCAAGUCCAGUCUCAAUUAAAGAUGGAUCAUUUGCAUAUGAAUCAGUUCCAAGGAACGAUUCUUUAAUGCGAACAAACUGACCUGAUUCCAUGUUUCACUUCUCUCUCAUUAGUUCUUUCGUUCUGACAGACUAUUCGCCGUGUUGUUCACUGUUUACUUAUCAGAGUGGUGAAGAGGACUGAGAGCCAGCCAAUCGUAUGCUGAGUCUAGGACACUGUCGUCAAAUUUUAUUCAGUGAGAAACAGGAAUGCAUAACAACCAUUUCCAUGAAAAAAAAAACAUUUCAUUUUGUUCGUAGCUCAUCGUUCCCGUUCAGUCAGACAGUCACCCUUGGCUACAUGUCAAUUUAAUGUCAAGGUGAAUAUACACAUUAUCUAUUGUUGUGUUGUCUAAAAGUACACAUGAUCAUGAAGUUGUCUGUGUAUUUGCCUUGAACUACAGUGUUAUGUUGACCAUUAGUACUAUUGUUUGAGAGCGAGAAGCUGAGAACUGUGCAUUACAUGAUUCACCGCUAAACGACACAACUGAACAAACAAACGAACAAUGUGAAUGAUUCUUCCUGCCGAACUGACCGACGAGAACUGAAUCUCGACAUUGAACUAUGAAAUCCACCUCUGGUCUCAAUAUCUGAGGAGCGAUCCAGUGGAAGUACCUGGAUCGCUGAUUGGUCUCUACUACGCCGCAUUGCUAUGACGAUCAGUACUACUAAGCGAGGAGAGGAGAGGUAAGGUGAGGUGAGGCUAGUUGCGCUGAGCCACCAGUACCAGUCAUUCAUGGCAUGGCAUCAAAAAAAAACAUAUUCAUCUGGUUCAGAAAGAAGAAGAAACAGGAUGAAGAAAAACGCUCACAGGAUAGAGGUAAGUUUUUUUUUUCAUGAUGUUGGGUGGAGGGAAAGCUUUAAUGAUGAUUUUUUUUUUUUUUAGCUAGCUUAAGGGUUUUCUGAAAGGGCUAAAUGUAAAUUGUAUAGGUCACAUGUGAAUGCCUUAAGACUGAUUGACUGAAGUGACCCCUGUCUUAGUGAAUUAUAGCAGGUCCAUUGCGUUAGCCUUACAUUUGGGAGGGAGGGUGUGUUGUUAGGCAGAUGUCUGUCAUGUCUGCUUUAUCCUUGUCCAGUGGGAGCUGCUGUUCCAUCAUAGACCUCCUCUGUUGUUAAAUAUCUGCCACGUAACACUACUUUAGGAUUAUUUUAGUGUGUCCUCAGUUUAUAGGUCUUUAAUGUCAUGUGUGCUAAACAACACUAAUGCAUAUUGGGCCUACUGUGGAUUAUUAUGGACUGUUGUGGUAGUGGGUUAUUGUUAACUCUACUAAGUUUCUUGCAGUCUGUCUUUACCACAUUUAUUAGAAUAUUUAUUGACAAUAUAAUUUAAACAAAUUUGCCUACAUUCCUGCAGUUUAGUUAUGUUUUUGAUAUAUUUCUUUGUCAAAUUAUAGAAAAUUUAAAGUAAACUGUACUAUAUAUAUGUUAGUUCUGCCCACAGAAUAUAGAAUAUAGGUUAAGACCAUAUCACCAGUUAGGCACAAGUAGUCUACUGUAUAAUACCCUGCAAAAUAUACACAAACAUAUUCCUUCAGUAUCACAUAGUGCUCAUCGGUCAUUUAUCUCUGUUUUAUAACUCUAACAAAUAAAAUGUGUCGUAAACUGCUUAAAAGUGACAACUUUGAAAUUGGGUGCAUGCUUUAGUUUAAAGGGACACUGUACUGUAUGUUGCAAAGUUUAAUAUAAAAACAGAUUAUGAAUUUCUGCAUUAGUGUAACAUAACUCAAUUAUAUAGUAUGAAUAUUUGCCAAGCAUCUUUUUUUGCUUGGUAACGUGGGAGUUUUGUCUUUGCAGGAGUAAUUAUGAAAUAUUUUGGAGAUGCGGUACAGGUAGCAGCACAGCUGCCUUCAGCACCACCGGACCAGGAUUUUUAAGUUUUAAAAUGUUUUUACAAUUUAAAAUAAACAUUUUUGAGGAACACUGUAUCAAUUUUACAUGACUUAGACAACUUUAUUACUCUUUAUUACUCAGACUCUACCCUGUUUUCCUCUUAAAAUGUAAUAGAUUGUUGCAUUGUUGUGGAGCACCUAAAAAAUUUACACUAAUUUAGUUGUGCGCAUUAGUCAUGAUAACUUCUAAUUCAUUGUCAGUAUGACUACAAACAGUUGUGAUAAUUAAAAUGUUUAUUGUUCAGAAUUUUGUGUUCAUGUCUUCUCAUCUAGUGAAAAGUUUUCAAACUAAGAAACAAGAUCCAAUUGAAAUUUAAGAAUGUCAGUCAAAAGGAUGUAUAGAUAAUCGCUUCUGUCAUUGGCUGACAUAGGCAGGUUCAACUAACGUUUGGCACAUAAUUAUUAUAUAAUUAUAAUUUAUAUUAUAAUAAAUGUUUAGCCUUUUAUUUGCAUUAGUCACCAGAAGCAACCAGAUGGACAUGCUUCUUCAUUAAUGUCUUUUUGCCGUUUCUUGAUAUCGCUGAUAUCCCGUAAACUUGUGUGUAAUUGCGGUGCCGCGCAUGACCCCGCCUCCCUGUCUGCAGAGUGAGGCCGAGCUGAUUCUGUCCCGGGCAGGUGAGCUCAAUGUAACGGAAAAACCAACAGCUGCUGCACAGAGACACUCUCCUUUCUCCUCAGGAAAAAAACUGGUGCCUGCUCCACAGUUUGUCAUUAAGGUUGAUAUCAUACGGACUUGUGGCUUCUACAGGAUCAUAUACCAUUGUUUCACAAUCUCAUAACUCUUGCCCACAGACAUGGAGGACAGCAUGACUAGGGAAAUGAAUGUCGGCAUUGUCCUAGUAAAAGAAGGAGAGGAUCAUCUUGACAUAUCAGUGGUCCUGGAGGAACAGAUCGUUCUGCAUGGCAUCAAGGACUACUCGCAUGUGGUACCUAUGUUAUUGGGUCUGCUUUAUGCACUUAACAUUGGCUACCCGAAGGAGUUGCAAUAUAUCAUCAAAGUCAUUCAGAAGGUUCUCAUGAACAUCGGCGGUGAGCACUGCUCUGCAAGGGUACAUGGACUGAGGAACAAAAUUCUUUGUAAAACUGUGUAGACACUACACUACACUCUGUUCUACUAUUGUAAUUGUAAUAAAACUUUAGUCAUAACCUUUUUGUCUACAAGGGUUUGAGGUCUUUCCUGGGAAGUCUUUUUGACCUGUUUGGGUGUGCAUAAUUUUAUUUUAUAUUUUUUUCAUGUUAUGAAAGACAGCAACAGAAGUAAUGAGUAGAGAGUACUCAUUUGUGCACAUUCUAAAGAGGAGAUGUUUUACCCAUUAGCUUGUGCUGUUUUUGGGAACAGAACUUUUUGUACUUGAUGGGAUAUGUUGAUGUGUUUACCUUGCCUAUCUGGUUUAUUAAAGCUUGGAAGAACUGGAA
Molecule: long non-coding RNA, 3515 nt
Organism: Acanthopagrus latus (yellowfin seabream)
Lineage: Eukaryota; Metazoa; Chordata; Actinopteri; Spariformes; Sparidae
Exons: 3
Source: RefSeq, a predicted model, not a curated record